This 253-nucleotide ribosomal RNA is filed under the name uncultured bacterium. Its description in RNAcentral is "partial 16S ribosomal RNA". It matches the Rfam family "Bacterial small subunit ribosomal RNA", at positions 524 to 776 of the family's 1533-position model. The record is from RNAcentral.
GACAGAGGAUGCAAGCGUUAUCCGGAUUCACUGGGUUUAAAGGGUGCGUAGGCGGAUUUGUAAGUCCGUGGUGAAAUCUCCGAGCUUAACUCGGAAACUGCCGUGGAUACUAUUAGUCUUGAAUGUUGUGGAGGUUAGCGGAAUAUGUCAUGUAGCGGUGAAAUGCAUAGAUAUGACAUAGAACACCAAUUGCGAAGGCAGCUGGCUACACAAAUAUUGACGCUGAUGCACGAAAGCGUGGGGAUCAAACAGG